This is an unclassified non-coding RNA of Macaca mulatta (Rhesus monkey), 148 nucleotides long. It matches the Rfam family "Metazoan signal recognition particle RNA". From Rfam's summary of the family: The signal recognition particle (SRP) is a universally conserved ribonucleoprotein. It is involved in the co-translational targeting of proteins to membranes. NCBI's taxonomy places the organism in Eukaryota, Metazoa, Chordata, Mammalia, Primates, Cercopithecidae. The record is from Ensembl.
GCUGGGCGUGGUGGCGUACUCCUGUAAUCCCAGCUACUCAGGAGGCUGAGGUGGGAGAAUUGCUUGAACCCAGGAGGUGGAGGUUGCAGUGAGCCGAUAUCACGCCAUUGCACUCCAGCCUGGGCAACAGAGCGAGACUCCAUCUCAA